Molecule: ribosomal RNA, 734 nt
Filed under: Schaalia turicensis
Lineage: Bacteria; Bacillati; Actinomycetota; Actinomycetes; Actinomycetales; Actinomycetaceae
Description: bacterial SSU rRNA
Rfam family: Bacterial small subunit ribosomal RNA
Source: RNAcentral
ACACAUGCAAGUCGAACGAUGAUGCUCCAGCUUUGUUGGGGUGGAUUAGUGGCGAACGGGUGAGUAACACGUGAGUAACCUGCCCUCUUCUUUGGGAUAACGGUCGGAAACGGCUGCUAAUACUGGAUAUUCACUCAUUGGCGCAUGUUGGUGGGUGGAAAGGUUUUUCUGGUGGGGGAUGGGCUCGCGGCCUAUCAGCUUGUUGGUGGGGUGAUGGCCUACCAAGGCUUUGACGGGUAACCGGCCUGAGAGGGUGACCGGUCACAUUGGGACUGAGAUACGGCCCAGACUCCUACGGGAGGCAGCAGUGGGGAAUUUUGCACAAUGGGCGCAAGCCUGAUGCAGCGACGCCGCGUGAGGGAUGAAGGCCUUCGGGUUGUAAACCUUUUUCGCUCAUGGUCAAGCCGCAGCUUUGGGUUGUGGUGAGGGUAGUGGGUAAAGAAGCGCCGGCUAACUACGUGCCAGCAGCCGCGGUAAUACGUAGGGCGCGAGCGUUGUCCGGAAUUAUUGGGCGUAAAGGGCUUGUAGGCGGUUGGCCGCGUCUGCCGUGAAAUCCUCUGGCUUAACUGGGGGCGUGCGGUGGGUACGGGUUGACUUGAGUGCGGUAGGGGAGACUGGAAUUCCUGGUGUAGCGGUGGAAUGCGCAGAUAUCAGGAGGAACACCGGUGGCGAAGGCGGGUCUCUGGGCCGUUACUGACGCUGAGGAGCGAAAGCGUGGGGAGCGAACAGGAUAU